UCAGCAAUGGAUCUUAGUGGCGAACGGGUGAGUAACGCGUAGGCAAUCUGCCUUCUAGAUGGGGACAACAUCCCGAAAGGGGUGCUAAUACCGAAUGUUGUACCGUUUCCGCAUGGAGAUGAUACUAAAGGUGGCCUCUGAAUAUGCUACCGCUAGAAGAUGAGCCUGCGUCUGAUUAGCUAGUUGGAGGGGUAACGGCCCACCAAGGCUUCGAUCAGUAGCCGGUCUGAGAGGAUGAACGGCCACACUGGGACUGAGACACGGCCCAGACUCCUACGGGAGGCAGCAGUGGGGAAUCUUCCGCAAUGGACGAAAGUCUGACGGAGCAACGCCGCGUGAGUGAAGAAGGUUUUCGGAUCGUAAAGCUCUUUCGUUAGGGACGAACGUGCUCUUUGUGAAUAAUGAGGAGUAAUGACGGUACCUAAAUAAGAAGCCACGGCUAACUACGUGCCAGCAGCCGCGGUAAUACGUAGGUGGCAAGCGUUGUCCGGAAUUAUUGGGCGUAAAGCGCGCGCAGGCGGGAUAUCAAGUCUGUCUU
RNAcentral lists this ribosomal RNA (538 nucleotides) under uncultured Anaeromusa sp. RNAcentral describes it as "partial 16S ribosomal RNA". It matches the Rfam family "Bacterial small subunit ribosomal RNA", at positions 79 to 595 of the family's 1533-position model. The record is from RNAcentral. Lineage: Bacteria; Bacillati; Bacillota; Negativicutes; Selenomonadales; Sporomusaceae.